UAAGAGGUCCAGCCUGCCCAGUGACUCUAGUUCAACGGCCGCGGUAUCCUGACCGUGCGAAGGUAGCGUAAUCACUUGUCUUUUAAAUUGAGACUAGUAUGAAAGGCACCACGAGAAUUAAACUGUCUCCUUUUUCUAAUCUGUGAAACUGAUCCCCCCGUGAAGAAGCGGGGAUUUUGAUAUAAGACGAGAAGACCCUAUGGAGCUUCAGACAAAUAACAAUGCCCUCCCUUUUUUUUCUAAAAAAUACCCGAGCAUCUUAAUUAUUUAGUCUUAGGUUGGGGCGACCAUGGAGUAAAAAUCACCCUCCAUGCUGAACAGGACCUCCUUAAAUAAGAGUAACAACUCUAAGAAUCAAUAAAUUGACACAUUUGACCCAAUUACUUGAUCAACGAAACAAGUUACCCUAGG
Molecule: ribosomal RNA, 411 nt
Filed under: Ischnocnema parva
Lineage: Eukaryota; Metazoa; Chordata; Amphibia; Anura; Brachycephalidae
Description: partial 16S ribosomal RNA
Rfam family: Bacterial large subunit ribosomal RNA
Source: RNAcentral